GGGUGAGUUGGAUAUAAGAAAAGUGGCUAGACUAACAGAGACAACGGGCCAAAGGCCUAGUGGUUCGUUUUAAUAGUGAUCCAAAUCCGGCUAAGCCCAACAUCAGCAAAAAAAUCGAAUGGUGGAUGAAUGCUUUUUGCGACGAGUGUAUUAAAGCAAAUAUCAUUUCAGAGCCGACAUAUCAAUUUUCAUCAAAUAUCAAAAGGCUUAUAGUCUGUUGGUAUCAAAGUGUUUUUAUUAAAUGUUAUUUUCUCUUAACUGCUUGCAGAUUUUAGUCCCUUGAUGGACAUAAAUGUUCAAAAGUAAGUUUACAAGGUGUGUGUAUGAGUUAUCUCUUCUAAAGAAAAUCCUAUUUUCAAACUAGAAUUUUAAAUUUAAAUAACCAAUUAACGAUUAUAUAAUAAAAAUAUUAAUUUAUGAAUCACUUAUUUAAUAACGGUUUUAGGUUAAAGGUUUAAUGUUUAUGGUAAACGUGUAGCUUCUAGUUAUUAUAUAACAUCUUAAACGAGAAAGUCGGUGCUACAGUGCACCGACAAAUUUACAAAAUUGUCGUAUGUUGUUUAAUAACCAAUUAACGAUUAUAUAAUAAAAAUAUCAAUUUAUGAAUCACUUAUCCAAUGGGACCCUAGAUGAGUUGGAGGAAACCAUCGGCGUCGUACAGUGAAAGAGAAGGCAUACGACAACGAAUUUGAUGUUUGGUUGGAACGAACUGUACGACCUGAACAACGAGGCAUCACCGGAGCUUCUUAAAUAUGUAACAGUUUCUUGAAUGUAGAUGAAAUUGGUACCGGCCAUUGAUUGUCGGUCCUGGUUGAUGUCUAGCCUGUGAUACUGAAGGAGGAGCUCAGAGAGUACCAUACAACACUGAUGAUUUUGAUGCCGAUUUGUACGGUACCAUGGUUGCACACACACACUCUCUCUCUACGUGGAAAUCUCUAAAAUAUUUGUUGAUUUCUGGUGGUCGAAAUCGUGAAUGGGUGUCGUGAUGGUGUGAUUUCGGGUUGGUGGCGAAUGGUUGAUCUGUGGUGGAAGUUGCUAAAGGGAAGGUGUGGUAGGUGGUUUGGUAAAAAAGUGCUAGAGGGGUUGAAAGAGAUAAAGAGGUGGUUCCUUCAUUACUCAAAUAAGGCUGACAAGUGACAUCAUAUUUACCUUGGACACAUUUCCUUUUUGUAAUAUACAAAAAUAAAAGCCUUGUAAUCGUAUAUCACACUUUAAGAUACAAAAAGAACAACCAAUUUUUUUU
RNAcentral lists this long non-coding RNA (1243 nucleotides) under Helianthus annuus (common sunflower). RNAcentral's name for it is "hypothetical non coding rna". The record is from RNAcentral. Lineage: Eukaryota; Viridiplantae; Streptophyta; Magnoliopsida; Asterales; Asteraceae.